Molecule: long non-coding RNA, 1898 nt
Organism: Corvus hawaiiensis (hawaiian crow)
Lineage: Eukaryota; Metazoa; Chordata; Aves; Passeriformes; Corvidae
Exons: 3
Source: RefSeq, a predicted model, not a curated record
GACUUUUGAAUUAUGUAUUCCUUAGGCAUCUGCUUUUACAUAAAGGCAAACAUUCAACACACAGCUAAAAUCACCAAACCUUCCUUCCAGCUCCACUUUCAGCCUGAAGUUCUUCUUUCUAUUCAUUGGUACAGGUAAUUCCAUUCAACACUUUCCUUUAGCUAGCAAGUUAACCAUGUCAGACAGUAUCCCAUCGGAAGCUGGGUUUUCUCCAGGCAGCAGUCCUGCCCUACAUUACUAUUCUGAGUUUGGUUACUUGACUCAACCACCAUCUCCAUCUCCCUUCCCUAGUUCGUCAUCUGGAAAAAAGUCUGAUUUGCACAGUUGGGACUAAGCCCAAGUUCUUUCAAAAGAGAAGCUGAGGGAUUUUGCAGGUUUAUUUUCCCUUUUUUCCACUUUAGGCAUUCGUUAGGAGGACACUUUUGGACAAGUAUGUGUGGUUGCUAUUCUCCAAAGUGAAGCUGAUUGAAACAUGGUAAAAUGGUUGGUAUUCUGAUAACCUGCCAUGUCAAAUGUAAUGGGCACUUCUAGUGGUUCUUUACUAUAAUUUAUCUUGCCAGUCUCUUAUCUAAAAUAUAUAAUUAAUAAUAGCAAAACAAUGCAACACAUCAUGUUAACAUAAUGAAAAUAAUUAUUCCUUAAAAUAGUUUCAUGCUCAUCAUAGAAUUAUCUGUGAGGAAAAAAAAUGUUUGCAGAGUGCUUAGGUACUGUAUAUUAUGUACAGCAAUCGUAUCUUUAAUGGAAAAGGUAGAAACAGUAAGCAAAUAGCAGUAGCAAUUUGAAUAUAAUGAUAUUGUUAUAUCUAUUACCAAUCACACCAAUAUAAUAAAAGAAAGGAGAAGCACCAUUUCAUAUGAGCAGUUACCUUGCUAUUAGGAAAGCACAAAUGUACUGUAUAGUACUUAGAUUUAUAUGACAUUUAACUUUUUAAAUGAGCAGCAUCCCCUUAACGAGGUAGAUUUGAAGCCAUUAUGAUCCAUUAAAAGAGUAAUAAGUGUCUGAUAGUAGAGUCCCUGACAUCUUUCUAUUAAGAUUUCUUGAUUUGGUCUGUAUCUGGUUUUGUGUUGGUUUUUUUUGAGCUGCAUUAAGCAUGAAUGCUCUUACCACACCAGUGCCCUAACUGUCAGAUUUGUGCUCGUGUUAAUAAGGGUACAUUUUGACAAUACUGAUUUAAAAGGCAAAUCUGAGGGUUAGGGAACUUCAACCUUCAUUUCAGAGAGUCCUUUCCUGGGUUGCUUCUACCCCUCCAGUUAUCCUACUUCGCUGUUUCUGACAAAUAAAGCCUUGUUCACCAUGACCUUUCUUUCUAGGUACAACAAACAGCACUAAACUUUAUUUGGAACUUAUCAUCACUCUUCCUUUACCAGCCAAAUGGGAUGCUGUUGAGUGACAUGGUGGACUCCACAACUACUACUGGGAGAUAUUUCCUGUCUCUCAGCCAAUAUAUUGAGAUUAUCUUGCACUCCUUGUGCAGGACAAAUAGUGCUCUACAGACAGUGGAUUUGCAUGGAUUAUCAGUGGGAACACAGUGUUUGCUGUAUCUUAAACAAGAAGAAAAAAAUGUUUAAAAACUUAACUGUACAAGGCUGAGUACUUACCACUACUUUAAAGUGGCAUUAUAAGAGAGUGACUCUCAAGCUGGUGGAAUUCUCACCGAUCCCAGUAUGACAAGUGGAAAAUUCCAGAAAGGUCUAUAACAACACCAUGGACAAAGAUCAGCACCUAAAUCUGACCAGCACACCACUAACUUCAGUGCACUCUUACUUGCAAGAACUUGGUUUAUGGUGUUUGAGCACAUUGCUUUUUAUUCACCAGCUCCAUGUGUAAAGACAAAACAGCUUUGUCACUUAUGCCAAGGUGUAAAAUAAAGGAAAUUUCCUUCUUUGUGUUUUGUAAUA